RNAcentral lists this ribosomal RNA (261 nucleotides) under uncultured bacterium. Its description in RNAcentral is "partial 16S ribosomal RNA". It matches the Rfam family "Bacterial small subunit ribosomal RNA", at positions 524 to 777 of the family's 1533-position model. The record is from RNAcentral.
UACGGGGGGGAGCAAGCGUUGUUCGGAUUUACUGGGCGUAAAGGGCGCGUAGGCGGCGGUAACAAGUCACUUGUGAAAUCUCCGGGGCUUAACUCGGAGCGGUCAAGUGAUACUGUUGUGCUAGAGUGCGGAAGGGGCUACUGGAAUUCUCGGUGUAGCGGGUGAAAUGCGUAGAUAUCGAGAGGAACACCUGCGGCGAAAGGCGGGUAGCUGGGGCCGACACUGACGCUGGAAGCGCGAAAGCUAGGGGAGCGAACGGGG